UGUAGUUACUACUUUGUGGUUUAAAAUUCUAGAUAGAAUUAUGAUGAUGACAUUAUCUAUCUAUAAGUCUUGACCAAAAUACGUGCCAGCAGUCGCGGUAAUACGUAAAAGACAAGUGUUAUUCAUCUUUAUUGGGUUUAAAGAGUACCAAGACGGUUAAUAAAGCCCAAAAUACAUGAGCACGGGGGACACAUUAACUAGAGUUAUAUGAAAGGAAGCACUAAAGUACUGUUGAGUGUAGAGAUAAAAUUCUAUCAUACCAGAUAAAGGCACAGAUUUAUGCGAAGGCAUCUUCUUAUGUAAUAACUGACGUUGUAGGACGAAGGCUUUUUAAGUGAAGAGGAUUAGAGACCCUUGUAAUCUAAGCAGAAAAUGAUGAAUGUCAUAGGUUUAAUAUAUUAUUGGGUCUAUAAAUGAAAGUGUAAGCAUUCCACCUCAAGAGUAAUUUGGCAACAUUGGAACUGAAAUCAUUAGACCGUUUCUGAAACCAGUAGUGAAGUAUGUUGUUUAAUUAGAUGAUACACAAAAAACCUUACCACAAUUUGAAUAUAUAUCUUUAAAGAUAUUUACAAGCGUUGCACGGCUGUCUUCAGUUAAUGUCGUGAGAUUGUGGUUAGUUCCAUAAAAUUAACGUAAACCCUCGUUUUAUUUAUAAAUAAAAUU
Molecule: ribosomal RNA, 663 nt
Filed under: Ricasolia quercizans
Lineage: Eukaryota; Fungi; Ascomycota; Lecanoromycetes; Peltigerales; Lobariaceae
Description: SSU rRNA
Rfam family: Bacterial small subunit ribosomal RNA
Source: RNAcentral